GGGCGGGUGGCUUAGCCAGGUUAGAGCGCCACGCUGAUAACGUGGAUGUCGAGAGUUCAAAUCUCUUCCCGCCCACCA
Molecule: transfer RNA, 78 nt
Filed under: Candidatus Aenigmatarchaeota archaeon
Lineage: Archaea; Nanobdellati; Candidatus Aenigmatarchaeota
Description: tRNA-Ile
Rfam family: tRNA
About the family: Transfer RNA (tRNA) molecules are approximately 80 nucleotides in length. Their secondary structure includes four short double-helical elements and three loops (D, anti-codon, and T loops). Further hydrogen bonds mediate the characteristic L-shaped molecular structure. tRNAs have two regions of fundamental functional importance: the anti-codon, which is responsible for specific mRNA codon recognition, and the 3' end, to which the tRNAs corresponding amino acid is attached (by aminoacyl-tRNA synthetases). tRNAs cope with the degeneracy of the genetic code in two manners: having more than one tRNA (with a specific anti-codon) for a particular amino acid; and 'wobble' base-pairing, i.e. permitting non-standard base-pairing at the 3rd anti-codon position.
Source: RNAcentral